AUGAACGCUGGCGGCGUGCUUAACACAUGCAAGUCGAACGAAGCACCUCUAAUCGAAGAUUGAGAAGCUUGCUUUGAUGAUUCACCUUGAGGUGACUGAGUGGCGGACGGGUGAGUAACGCGUGGGUAACCUACCCUAUACAGGGGGAUAACAGUUGGAAACGACUGCUAAUACCGCAUAAGCGCACGAAGACCGCAUGGUCUGGUGUGAAAAAACUCCGGUGGUAUAGGAUGGACCCGCGUCUGAUUAGCUAGUUGGUGAGGUAACGGCUCACCAAGGCGACGAUCAGUAGCCGACCUGAGAGGGUGACCGGCCACAUUGGGACUGAGACACGGCCCAAACUCCUACGGGAGGCAGCAGUGGGGAAUAUUGCACAAUGGGCGAAAGCCUGAUGCAGCGACGCCGCGUGAACGAAGAAGUAUUUCGGUAUGUAAAGUUCUAUCAGCAGGGAAGAAAAAUGACGGUACCUGACUAAGAAGCUCCGGCUAAAUACGUGCCAGCCGCGGC
Molecule: ribosomal RNA, 507 nt
Filed under: uncultured bacterium
Lineage: Bacteria
Description: bacterial SSU rRNA
Rfam family: Bacterial small subunit ribosomal RNA
Source: RNAcentral